AACGCGAAGAACCUUACCAGCCUUUGACAUGUCCCGUAUGAGUACCAGAGAUGGAACUCUUCAGUUCGGCUGGCGGGAACACAGGUGCUGCAUGGCUGUCGUCAGCUCGUGUCGUGAGAUGUUGGGUUAAGUCCCGCAACGAGCGCAACCCUCGCCCUUAGUUGCCAUCAUUUAGUUGGGCACUCUAAGGGGACUGCCGGUGAUAAGCCGCGAGGAAGGUGGGGAUGACGUCAAGUCCUCAUGGCCCUUACAGGCUGGGCUACACACGUGCUACAAUGGCGGUGACAAUGGGACGCAAUGGGGAGACCCUGCGCAAAUCUCAAAAAGCCGUCUCAGUUCGGAUUGUGCUCUGCAACUCGAGCACAUGAAGUUGGAAUCGCUAGUAAUCGCAGAUCAGCACGCUGCGGUGAAUACGUUCCCGGGCCUUGUA
Molecule: ribosomal RNA, 430 nt
Filed under: uncultured Alphaproteobacteria bacterium
Lineage: Bacteria; Pseudomonadati; Pseudomonadota; Alphaproteobacteria
Description: bacterial SSU rRNA
Rfam family: Bacterial small subunit ribosomal RNA
Source: RNAcentral